GUGUGUUCGUGUGUUGAUGGUGUUCAGCACCAAGGACAUGUGUGUUCGUGUGUUGAUGGUGUUCAGCACCAAGGACAGAUGUGUUUGGGC
This 90-nucleotide microRNA precursor is filed under the name Branchiostoma floridae (Florida lancelet). RNAcentral describes it as "mir-2060 microRNA precursor family". It matches the Rfam family "mir-2060 microRNA precursor family". Lineage: Eukaryota; Metazoa; Chordata; Leptocardii; Amphioxiformes; Branchiostomatidae. The record is from Rfam by way of RNAcentral.